GAUGAACGCUGGCGGCGUGCCUAAUACAUGCAAGUCGAGCGAACAGACGAGGAGCUUGCUCCUCUGACGUUAGCGGCGGACGGGUGAGUAACACGUGGAUAACCUACCUAUAAGACUGGGAUAACUUCGGGAAACCGGAGCUAAUACCGGAUAAUAUAUUGAACCGCAUGGUUCAAUAGUGAAAGACGGUUUUGCUGUCACUUAUAGAUGGAUCCGCGCCGCAUUAGCUAGUUGGUAAGGUAACGGCUUACCAAGGCAACGAUGCGUAGCCGACCUGAGAGGGUGAUGGGCCACACUGGAGCUGAGACACGGUACAGACAACCAAGAGAGGCAGAAGUAGGGAAUCUGCCGCAAUGGGGGAAAGACUGGCGGAGCGAAGCCGGGAGAAAGAUGAAGGUCUUCGGAUCGUGAAACUCUGUUAUGAGGGAAGAACAAAUGUGUAAGUAACUAUGCACGUAUUGACGGUACCUAAUCAGAAAGCCACGGCUAACUACGUG
This 497-nucleotide ribosomal RNA is filed under the name uncultured bacterium. Its description in RNAcentral is "partial 16S ribosomal RNA". It matches the Rfam family "Bacterial small subunit ribosomal RNA", at positions 28 to 507 of the family's 1533-position model. The record is from RNAcentral.